This 28-nucleotide small RNA is filed under the name Bombyx mori (domestic silkworm). RNAcentral's name for it is "ovarian small RNA-28036". The record is from RNAcentral. Lineage: Eukaryota; Metazoa; Arthropoda; Insecta; Lepidoptera; Bombycidae.
UCCUUCGUGGGGACCCAGCGCUAUUCCU